This 2750-nucleotide ribosomal RNA is filed under the name Staphylococcus aureus SJUD6098. RNAcentral describes it as "bacterial LSU rRNA". It matches the Rfam family "Bacterial large subunit ribosomal RNA". Lineage: Bacteria; Bacillati; Bacillota; Bacilli; Caryophanales; Staphylococcaceae. The record is from RNAcentral.
UCAGAAGGCACACCCGGAGAACUGAAACAUCUUAGUACCCGGAGGAAGAGAAAGAAAAUUCGAUUCCCUUAGUAGCGGCGAGCGAAACGGGAAGAGCCCAAACCAAAAAGCUUGCUUGUUGGGGUUGUAGGACACUCUAUACGGAGUUACAAAGGACGACAUUAGACGAAUCAUCUGGAAAGAUGAAUCAAAGAAGGUAAUAAUCCUGUAGUCGAAAAUGUUGUCUCUCUUGAGUGGAUCCUGAGUACGACGGAGCACGUGAAAUUCCGUCGGAAUCUGGGAGGACCAUCUCCUAAGGCUAAAUACUCUCUAGUGACCGAUAGUGAACCAGUACCGUGAGGGAAAGGUGAAAAGCACCCCGGAAGGGGAGUGAAAUAGAACCUGAAACCGUGUGCUUACAAGUAGUCAGAGCCCGUUAAUGGGUGAUGGCGUGCCUUUUGUAGAAUGAACCGGCGAGUUACGAUUUGAUGCAAGGUUAAGCAGUAAAUGUGGAGCCGUAGCGAAAGCGAGUCUGAAUAGGGCGUUUAGUAUUUGGUCGUAGACCCGAAACCAGGUGAUCUACCCUUGGUCAGGUUGAAGUUCAGGUAACACUGAAUGGAGGACCGAACCGACUUACGUUGAAAAGUGAGCGGAUGAACUGAGGGUAGCGGAGAAAUUCCAAUCGAACCUGGAGAUAGCUGGUUCUCUCCGAAAUAGCUUUAGGGCUAGCCUCAAGUGAUGAUUAUUGGAGGUAGAGCACUGUUUGGACGAGGGGCCCCUCUCGGGUUACCGAAUUCAGACAAACUCCGAAUGCCAAUUAAUUUAACUUGGGAGUCAGAACAUGGGUGAUAAGGUCCGUGUUCGAAAGGGAAACAGCCCAGACCACCAGCUAAGGUCCCAAAAUAUAUGUUAAGUGGAAAAGGAUGUGGCGUUGCCCAGACAACUAGGAUGUUGGCUUAGAAGCAGCCAUCAUUUAAAGAGUGCGUAAUAGCUCACUAGUCGAGUGACACUGCGCCGAAAAUGUACCGGGGCUAAACAUAUUACCGAAGCUGUGGAUUGUCCUUUGGACAAUGGUAGGAGAGCGUUCUAAGGGCGUUGAAGCAUGAUCGUAAGGACAUGUGGAGCGCUUAGAAGUGAGAAUGCCGGUGUGAGUAGCGAAAGACGGGUGAGAAUCCCGUCCACCGAUUGACUAAGGUUUCCAGAGGAAGGCUCGUCCGCUCUGGGUUAGUCGGGUCCUAAGCUGAGGCCGACAGGCGUAGGCGAUGGAUAACAGGUUGAUAUUCCUGUACCACCUAUAAUCGUUUUAAUCGAUGGGGGGACGCAGUAGGAUAGGCGAAGCGUGCGAUUGGAUUGCACGUCUAAGCAGUAAGGCUGAGUAUUAGGCAAAUCCGGUACUCGUUAAGGCUGAGCUGUGAUGGGGAGAAGACAUUGAGUCUUCGAGUCGUUGAUUUCACACUGCCGAGAAAAGCCUCUAGAUAGAAAAUAGGUGCCCGUACCGCAAACCGACACAGGUAGUCAAGAUGAGAAUUCUAAGGUGAGCGAGCGAACUCUCGUUAAGGAACUCGGCAAAAUGACCCCGUAACUUCGGGAGAAGGGGUGCUCUUUAGGGUUAACGCCCAGAAGAGCCGCAGUGAAUAGGCCCAAGCGACUGUUUAUCAAAAACACAGGUCUCUGCUAAACCGUAAGGUGAUGUAUAGGGGCUGACGCCUGCCCGGUGCUGGAAGGUUAAGAGGAGUGGUUAGCUUCUGCGAAGCUACGAAUCGAAGCCCCAGUAAACGGCGGCCGUAACUAUAACGGUCCUAAGGUAGCGAAAUUCCUUGUCGGGUAAGUUCCGACCCGCACGAAAGGCGUAACGAUUUGGGCACUGUCUCAACGAGAGACUCGGUGAAAUCAUAGUACCUGUGAAGAUGCAGGUUACCCGCGACAGGACGGAAAGACCCCGUGGAGCUUUACUGUAGCCUGAUAUUGAAAUUCGGCACAGCUUGUACAGGAUAGGUAGGAGCCUUUGAAACGUGAGCGCUAGCUUACGUGGAGGCGCUGGUGGGAUACUACCCUAGCUGUGUUGGCUUUCUAACCCGCACCACUUAUCGUGGUGGGAGACAGUGUCAAGCGGGCAGUUUGACUGGGGCGGUCGCCUCCUAAAAGGUAACGGAGGCGCUCAAAGGUUCCCUCAGAAUGGUUGGAAAUCAUUCAUAGAGUGUAAAGGCAUAAGGGAGCUUGACUGCGAGACCUACAAGUCGAGCAGGGUCGAAAGACGGACUUAGUGAUCCGGUGGUUCCGCAUGGAAGGGCCAUCGCUCAACGGAUAAAAGCUACCCCGGGGAUAACAGGCUUAUCUCCCCCAAGAGUUCACAUCGACGGGGAGGUUUGGCACCUCGAUGUCGGCUCAUCGCAUCCUGGGGCUGUAGUCGGUCCCAAGGGUUGGGCUGUUCGCCCAUUAAAGCGGUACGCGAGCUGGGUUCAGAACGUCGUGAGACAGUUCGGUCCCUAUCCGUCGUGGGCGUAGGAAAUUUGAGAGGAGCUGUCCUUAGUACGAGAGGACCGGGAUGGACAUACCUCUGGUGUACCAGUUGUCGUGCCAACGGCAUAGCUGGGUAGCUAUGUGUGGACGGGAUAAGUGCUGAAAGCAUCUAAGCAUGAAGCCCCCCUCAAGAUGAGAUUUCCCAACUUCGGUUAUAAGAUCCCUCAAAGAUGAUGAGGUUAAUAGGUUCGAGGUGGAAGCAUGGUGACAUGUGGAGCUGACGAAUACUAAUCGAUCGAAGACUUAAUCAA